Molecule: ribosomal RNA, 253 nt
Filed under: uncultured bacterium
Lineage: Bacteria
Description: partial 16S ribosomal RNA
Rfam family: Bacterial small subunit ribosomal RNA
Source: RNAcentral
UACAGAGACUGCAAGCGUUAUUCGGAUUCACUGGGUUUAAAGGGUGCGUAGGCGGGCAGGUAAGUCCGUGGUGAAAUCUCUGAGCUUAACUCAGAAACUGCCAUGGAUACUAUUUGUCUUGAAUAUUGUGGAGGUAAGCGGAAUAUGUCAUGUAGCGGUGAAAUGCUUAGAUAUGACAUAGAACACCAAUUGCGAAGGCAGCUUACUACACAGUUAUUGACGCUGAGGCACGAAAGCGUGGGGAUCAAACAGG